GGGUUUGCUUUGGCAGCCCAUAUAUGAAAAUUAGAAAAUGUAGAGAAGAGUAUUAGCACAGCCCUGACAAGGAUGACAGCCAAAUUCAUGAAGCAAAGCAUUCCAUG
Molecule: small nuclear RNA, 107 nt
Filed under: Jaculus jaculus (lesser Egyptian jerboa)
Lineage: Eukaryota; Metazoa; Chordata; Mammalia; Rodentia; Dipodidae
Source: RNAcentral